ACGAAGGUUCAAAGCGCUGCCUUAGGCAGCACCCCAGAUGACCAGAGCCUUCAAGGUCAUGCCGCUAACCCGGUGGUUCAUCCCAAAGUGCGAUUCGCGCCCGGAGGCUCGCACGGUCAUUCGCCAGAAUGAUGGACGC
This is a non-coding RNA of Pseudomonas putida F1, 139 nucleotides long. The record is from Rfam. Lineage: Bacteria; Pseudomonadati; Pseudomonadota; Gammaproteobacteria; Pseudomonadales; Pseudomonadaceae.